AUGUGCUUCUCAUCGAUUAGAAUAACCAUAUGAAGUUUAUAUACAAGAGCAAAAGAGAAAGAAGAAAGAGAACCAACAAGAAAAGCACAAUUGACAACUAAGCUAAUUGAUUAACAUAAUUAGCUAACUAAAUUCUAAAACUAGCCAACUAAUUUUAAAUAACAUUACAAGUAGCUAACUAUUUCAACUAACUGAUAGCUCUACUACAGGUUGCGAUCUUCUUCUUUUCAUCCUUUGCUUGAUACUCUCCCUUAAGUUGAGCAUAUAUAUUGCAAAUGUUCAACUUGCUCAAAAGAUACCUAAAUUUGAAAGGACGCAAUGGCUUUGUAAACAAAUCAGCUAGCUACUCACUUGACUUCAAAUACUCUGGUUUAACAACUCCUAGCAACACCUUGUAUUUGAUGAAGUGACAAUCUAUUUCAAUAAGCUUUGUUCUCUAAUGAAAAACAGGGUUCUUGGAGAUAUGUAUUGUAGACAUGCUAUCAGAAUUCAAGUACACAGGUUGAGGAACUUGAAUUCUAAAAUCUGAUAAUAAAGCAAUUAACCAUAAUAUUUCUGAAGUUGUAGCUUCCAUAAAUCUAUACUUUGCCUCUGCUGAGCUUCUUGAAACUGCGGAUUGCUUCUUGGGCUUCCAACUGAUCAAGGAUUGUCCAAGAAAAAUGUAAAAACUAGUCAACGAUCUCUUAGUUUCACAACAAUCUGCCCAGUCACUGUUUGAAUAUGCUGUCAACUUUAUUUCAAACUGCAAAGACAAGAAUAAGCCUUGACCUAGAGCAUUCUUUAGAUACUUGAGAACUUUUUGUGUUGCAUCUAAAUGUAUCUCAACUGGUUUAUCCAUAAACUGAGAUAAUACAUGAACUCCAUAGGCAAUAUCUAGCCUUGUCAAUAUAACAUACAUCAAUUUCCCAACUAUUUGUCUAUAAAGAAUUGGAUCUACAAGUAAUUUUUCUUCUACAUGCAUAAGUUUGAUAUUCAGUUCUACUGGAAUUGAGAUAGGCUUGGCCACAAGUAAUCCAUACUCUUCCAACAUUUCUAAAAUAAAUUUCCUAUAAGAAAUUACAAAGCUUUUAGUUGAUCUCGAAAUUUCAAGAAAAUAUUGCAAGUUCUCAAGAUCUUUCAACUUACAACAUGAACUCAAACUAACCCUUAAUUCAUCAAUCAACCCUUUAUUGCCAGUGCCAAUAAUGACGUCAUCAACAUAUACAAGAAGUGCAACAAACCCAUCCCCAUAUUACUUGGUGAACAAUGAGUAAUCAAAUUUAGAUUGAUAAAGCCAUUCAUUAAGUAAACUUUCCGUAAAUUUUAUAUUCCACUGCCUUGACGCCUGCUUCAGCCCAUAUAAAGACUUCUGAAGUUUGCAAACUAACUUUGAGCCAUCACCACCAUACUCCUCCAAAGGUAUAUAACCAGGAGGAAGAUCCAUGUAAAUUUCUUCAACAAGCUCCCAUUCAGAAAUCCCCAUUCAGAAAAGAAUUUUUAACAUCCAAUUAAGAUAGGUGCCAACUGAAAUGGCUACAAGAGCAAGAAAUGUCCUAACUGUAGUGUGCUUAGCAACAGGACUAAAAUUCUCUUAGUAAUCAAAUCCAACCCUCUAUGUGUACCUUUUGGCCACAAGUCUAGCCUUGUACCUAUCAAUGGUACCAUCAGAUUUAAACUUCACACUGUAAACCCAUUUACAACCCUCUGAUUUGGCACCUAUAGGCAAUUGAGUAAUAGUCCAAGUCGUAUUCUAUUCUAAAGCAUCAAGUUCAUCCUUCAUAGCCUGUUUCCAAUGAUCAAAUUGAACAGCAUGGUGAUAUGAAGUUGGCUCAAAAGUGAAAGAAAAAUUAAGAAUAAAAGACUUGUAAUGAGGAGACAAUCUAUCAUAGGAAAUGUAAUUUUUAAUAGGAUAAGAAGUAUGACAAGAUACAGAAGAUGGAAGAAUUUGACCUGAUUUCAAUUAUAAAUGAUAGGUAUGAAGAUGCACUGGUAAUCUAACUUGUCUAGUAGACCUUCUUAAGGCAGGAAUAGUAGAUAAGGUUCCAUUAAAGUAGGGACAAAAUAAGACAAAUCAGACACAUUAUGAUCACACAUGGUAUGUAGACUAGAAGUUGACCGAGAAAUAAGAGGAAAGGAAUUAGAAACAGAUAUAUUUAAUAAAGGAAAAAUAGAAACAGUUGGUAAAACUAAAUUUGGAACAAUAGAACUAGGUUGAGACAUAAGAGAAGAAGAUUGUUGAGAAAGGGAAGACACUUUCAUGAAAGACUACAUCUCUUGAAACAAAACAAGUCUUUGAAUCAUGUUCAUACAAAAGAUAACCCUUAAUAUCAAUUGGAUAACCAACAACGAGACACUUUUUGGCUUUAACAUCAAAUUUACUUCUAUGAGCAAUGAGAUUAGAGGCAAAACAUAGAUAACCAAAAGCUCUAAGAUGAGAAUAUGAAGGAGUUAUGUGAAAUAGAAGUUCAAAGGGUGAUUUAUUCUGAUAUUUGGCCAUGGGAAUUCUGUUGAUAAGAUAUGGAGAAGUGAGUAUAGCAAAACCGCAAAACAUGAGAGGAAGAUGAGAAUGAAACAAAAAAGCUUUGGCAACAUUAAGGAUGUGCUGGUAUUUCCUCUCAACAAUACUAUUGUGCUGAGGGGUAUACAGACAACUUGUUUGAUGCACAAAUGCCAUUAGAGGCAAAGAAUGAAUGUGAAAGGAAUUCAAUCCCAUUAUCAAUUCUAUCUGUUUGAUGGAAGCUUGAAACUGAGGCAACAUGUUUUUGAAAUUGAGGAACAAGAAAAUAGACUUCAUAUUUUGACUUCAUGAGAAAAGUCCAGACAUUUUCGGUAAAGUCAUCAACAAUAGUAAAAAAGAAAUGAUUUCCAUAAUAUCUUUUUGAGAAUAAGGGCCCUAUAUGUCCAUAUGCAUAAGCUCAAAAGGACCAGAAGUAUUAGGAAUAUGUUAGGGAGAAAAAAUAAUCUUCUUUGUUUUGCUUUUGGACAAGUAUCACAUGGAAAGGAAGAAUUUUUAGAGGAAAGGGAAAGCAAGGACUAUAAAGUAACUAGUCUAUCAUUAGGAGGAUGACCCAACCUGUGAUGCCAGGUUUCAAAAGAAACUGUAUUAGACUGAAAAGAAUGACAAAUACUUUGAUUAAUACUUUCUUGUGACAGGACAAAUAACCCAUCCUUGAUUUUUGCUAGACCAAUUGUCUCCCAUGAUGAAAGGGCCUGGAGAAAACAAUAGUGAGACAGAAUGAUGAAACAUACCUUUUUAGACAGAACUAACUUGCUCACUAACGAUAGACUAAAGGUGAACGAUGGAAUAAGCAAGACAUUAUGAAGAGGUGAACGAUGGAAUAAGCAAGACAUUAUGAAG
This 3337-nucleotide unclassified non-coding RNA is filed under the name Hevea brasiliensis (rubber tree). Lineage: Eukaryota; Viridiplantae; Streptophyta; Magnoliopsida; Malpighiales; Euphorbiaceae. The record is from RNAcentral.